GGUUGACCUCGGAUUAGGUAGGAAU
Molecule: ribosomal RNA, 25 nt
Filed under: Daldinia concentrica
Lineage: Eukaryota; Fungi; Ascomycota; Sordariomycetes; Xylariales; Hypoxylaceae
Also listed under: 1 other name
Description: partial 28S ribosomal RNA
Source: RNAcentral